GCUUACGGCCAUAUCAGCCUGGGUACGCCUGAUCUCGUCUGAUCUCAGAAGCUAAGCAGGGUCGUGCCGGGUUAGUACUUGGAUGGGAGACCGCCUGGGAAUACCAGGUGCUGUAAGCA
RNAcentral lists this ribosomal RNA (119 nucleotides) under Salmo salar (Atlantic salmon). The record is from RNAcentral. Lineage: Eukaryota; Metazoa; Chordata; Actinopteri; Salmoniformes; Salmonidae.